CGGGACGUAGUUCAGCGGUCGGAGCAUCCGCUUUGGGAGCGGGGAGUCGAAGGUUCGAAUCCUUCCGUCCCGACCA
RNAcentral lists this transfer RNA (76 nucleotides) under Streptomyces alanosinicus. RNAcentral's name for it is "tRNA-Pro". It matches the Rfam family "tRNA". Rfam says of the family: Transfer RNA (tRNA) molecules are approximately 80 nucleotides in length. Their secondary structure includes four short double-helical elements and three loops (D, anti-codon, and T loops). Further hydrogen bonds mediate the characteristic L-shaped molecular structure. tRNAs have two regions of fundamental functional importance: the anti-codon, which is responsible for specific mRNA codon recognition, and the 3' end, to which the tRNAs corresponding amino acid is attached (by aminoacyl-tRNA synthetases). tRNAs cope with the degeneracy of the genetic code in two manners: having more than one tRNA (with a specific anti-codon) for a particular amino acid; and 'wobble' base-pairing, i.e. permitting non-standard base-pairing at the 3rd anti-codon position. Lineage: Bacteria; Bacillati; Actinomycetota; Actinomycetes; Kitasatosporales; Streptomycetaceae. The record is from RNAcentral.